GGCGUGGUGACCGAGUGGCUAGGUAGGGGUCUGCAAAACCCCGUACAGGGGUUCAAUUCCCCUCCACGCCU
Molecule: transfer RNA, 71 nt
Filed under: bacterium (Candidatus Torokbacteria) CG_4_10_14_0_2_um_filter_35_8
Lineage: Bacteria
Description: tRNA-Cys
Rfam family: tRNA
About the family: Transfer RNA (tRNA) molecules are approximately 80 nucleotides in length.
Source: RNAcentral